Molecule: long non-coding RNA, 1152 nt
Organism: Asterias rubens (European starfish)
Lineage: Eukaryota; Metazoa; Echinodermata; Asteroidea; Forcipulatida; Asteriidae
Exons: 2
Source: RefSeq, a predicted model, not a curated record
GUGUAGUCUUGUGUUUUAAUGAUUUCUAUUGUGUGAUUCUAAAAUGUUUCAGUGUAAUCUCCUUUUUAUAUUGUCACGGUCCAGAGUAAAUGGUCCAGAGUAAAUAUCCGGUUUUGUAAAUAAGCGUAAUAGGAUUACAGUAACAAUGGAGUAAUGUUUCUUUAGUUAAGUAGUUAAUACUAUACGUGUAGAAUGUUAUAGAUUUCCUUAGAGGGGCGAGCACACAUACUUUAAGUUUGGGGUGAGCAGUCACGCGUGUGUUAAACUCGUUAAUCGGUUGGAACUUUUCUUCGUACGCCACACAAACACCUGUUUUGCAGACAUGAACAGAAUAUUGGAAUUCGCAGAGUUUGGAGAAUGCUGAUAAUUCAGGAUUCGCUUUAUAAGGAAGGAUUGCGGCCAUCCUCGUCCCUCACAUUUUUAAUUCUUCAGUUUCGGGGCGGAGGUCUGCAGAGUAGCAGAGUUGAGUGGGCGGAGAAUUCCCUCUGAGUAUGCCCACGUUGGAGCGGCGUUUUUAAUUGCCGAACUGUGAUGUUCGACAUGUGUUAGUUUCGCCGUUCCUGGACGGAUCAAUCCGUGAAGCCUCCAGUAAAGUUAGUCGCUGCCGAAACCAUGCAGUAGGCUGCGGUGGCUCUUCAAUGACGGGGAGUUUGCACGUCGACGAGGCGGAGCUGUGACUUCCCGAGAGCGUCGAACUUUACGACACACAGACUCGUGACUUGCGUACUGUGUGAGUUUUCUUUUCCUCCGAGCUGCGGUUGUCGGACUUUGUUGUACCGGUUGCGUUAAGCAACGACGGUACGAAAGCAGAGAGCACCGAGGGGGCCGACCAUUUUUCCACACCGGGUUUCAUCACAUCGCGUACCUUGGAAGGACAACAAUCUACGGGGACAUUUUCAUCAGAAUAGGCGAACACUGGUCUUCAGCUCUCUCCGAGAGAGUCGAGGUAUUUCAGAGGCUGUUGGGUCUUCAACCCUAUUUUGCCUAUAGCUGCUCGCCCCCCCCCCCGUUUAUAUCCAAUUCAUGUAACAACUGGUUAACUGCCUUUUUGUAUUGCCUUAUUUUUGUUUAAGUAAUGGUUUAUAUUAAAUUUAAUUGAACAUACUUGCUGUUUCAUAUUAUACUGGUCUGUUUGACUACUUUUGUUACCCU